This 460-nucleotide ribosomal RNA is filed under the name uncultured bacterium. Its description in RNAcentral is "partial 16S ribosomal RNA". It matches the Rfam family "Bacterial small subunit ribosomal RNA", at positions 338 to 795 of the family's 1533-position model. The record is from RNAcentral.
CCUACGGGUGGCAGCAGUGAGGAAUAUUGGUCAAUGGACGCAAGUCUGAACCAGCCAUGCCGCGUGCAGGAAGACGGCUCUAUGAGUUGUAAACUGCUUUUGUACGAGGGUAAAUCCCGAUACGUGUAUCGGGUUUCAACUGUCUUACGAAUAAGUAUCGGCUAACUCCGUGCCAGCAGCCGCGGUAAUACGGAGGGUUCAAGCGUUAUCCGGAGUUAUUGGGUGUAAAGGGUGCGUAGGCGGUUCGAUAAGUUAGAGGUGAAAGCCCGGGGCUCAACUCCGGCACUGCCUCUGAUACUGUCGGGCUAGAGUGUAGUAGCGGUAGGCGGAAUGUAUGGUGUAGCGGUGAAAUGCAUAGAGAUCAUACAGAACACCGAUUGCGAAGGCAGCUUACCAAACGACGACUGACGUUGAGGCACGAAAGCGUGGGGAGCAAACAGGAUUAGAUACCCGUGUAGUC